This 73-nucleotide transfer RNA is filed under the name Azospirillum brasilense. RNAcentral's name for it is "tRNA-Ala". It matches the Rfam family "tRNA". Rfam says of the family: Transfer RNA (tRNA) molecules are approximately 80 nucleotides in length. Their secondary structure includes four short double-helical elements and three loops (D, anti-codon, and T loops). Further hydrogen bonds mediate the characteristic L-shaped molecular structure. tRNAs have two regions of fundamental functional importance: the anti-codon, which is responsible for specific mRNA codon recognition, and the 3' end, to which the tRNAs corresponding amino acid is attached (by aminoacyl-tRNA synthetases). tRNAs cope with the degeneracy of the genetic code in two manners: having more than one tRNA (with a specific anti-codon) for a particular amino acid; and 'wobble' base-pairing, i.e. permitting non-standard base-pairing at the 3rd anti-codon position. The record is from RNAcentral. Lineage: Bacteria; Pseudomonadati; Pseudomonadota; Alphaproteobacteria; Rhodospirillales; Azospirillaceae.
GGGGCCUUAGCUCAGUUGGGAGAGCGCCCGCUUUGCAAGCAGGAGGUCGUCGGUUCGAUCCCGACAGGUCACG